This 404-nucleotide ribosomal RNA is filed under the name uncultured bacterium. RNAcentral describes it as "bacterial SSU rRNA". It matches the Rfam family "Bacterial small subunit ribosomal RNA", at positions 430 to 826 of the family's 1533-position model. The record is from RNAcentral.
GCACUUUAAGCAGUGAAGAAGACUCUUCGGCUAAUACCCGGAGACGAUGACAUUAGCUGCAGAAUAAGCACCGGCUAACUCUGUGCCAGCAGCCGCGGUAAUACAGAGGGUGCAAGCGUUAAUCGGAAUUACUGGGCGUAAAGGGAGCGUAGGUGGCUCUAUAAGUCAGAUGUGAAAUCCCCGGGCUUAACCUGGGAACUGCAUCUGAAACUGUAGAGCUAGAGUAUGUGAGAGGGAGGUAGAAUUUCAGGUGUAGCGGUGAAAUGCGUAGAGAUCUGAAGGAAUACCGAUGGCGAAGGCAGCCUCCUGGCAUAAUACUGACACUGAGGCUCGAAAGCGUGGGUAGCAAACAGGAUUAGAUACCCUGGUAGUCCACGCCGUAAACGAUGUCUACUAGUCGUUGG